CUUGGUCAUUUAGAGGAAGUAAAAGUCGUAACAAGGUUUCCGUAGGUGAACCUGCGGAAGGAUCAUUACAGAGUUCAUGCCCGAAAGGGUAGACCUCCCACCCUUGUGUAUUAUUACUUUGUUGCUUUGGCGAGCUGCCUUCGGGCCUUGUAUGCUCGCCAGAGAAAACCAAAACUCUUUUUAUUAAUGUCGUCUGAGUACUAUAUAAUAGUUAAAACUUUCAACAACGGAUCUCUUGGUUCUGGCAUCGAUGAAGAACGCAGCGAAAUGCGAUAAGUAAUGUGAAUUGCAGAAUUCAGUGAAUCAUCGAAUCUUUGAACGCACAUUGCGCCCCUUGGUAUUCCGGGGGGCAUGCCUGUUCGAGCGUCAUUUCAACCCUCAAGCUUAGCUUGGUAUUGAGUCUAUGUCAGUAAUGGCAGGCUCUAAAAUCAGUGGCGGCGCCGCUGGGUCCUGAACGUAGUAAUAUCUCUCGUUACAGGUUCUCGGUGUGCUUCUGCCAAAACCCAAAUUUUUCUAUGGUUGACCUCGGAUCAGGUAGGGAUACCCGCUGAACUUAAGCAUAUCAAUAAGCGGAGGA
This 577-nucleotide ribosomal RNA is filed under the name Botrytis sp. BS8. RNAcentral describes it as "eukaryotic LSU rRNA". The stretch from base 216 to 369 matches the Rfam family "5.8S ribosomal RNA". Lineage: Eukaryota; Fungi; Ascomycota; Leotiomycetes; Helotiales; Sclerotiniaceae. RNAcentral also lists the same sequence under 1 other name. The record is from RNAcentral.